RNAcentral lists this ribosomal RNA (404 nucleotides) under Actinomycetes bacterium. Its description in RNAcentral is "Actinobacteria bacterium partial 16S ribosomal RNA". It matches the Rfam family "Bacterial small subunit ribosomal RNA", at positions 355 to 776 of the family's 1533-position model. Lineage: Bacteria; Bacillati; Actinomycetota; Actinomycetes. The record is from RNAcentral.
UGGGGAAUAUUGGACAAUGGGCGCAAGCCUGAUCCAGCCAUGCCGCGUGAGUGAUGAAGGCCCUAGGGUUGUAAAGCUCUUUCACCGGUGAAGAUAAUGACGGUAACCGGAGAAGAAGCCCCGGCUAACUUCGUGCCAGCAGCCGCGGUAAUACGAAGGGGGCUAGCGUUGUUCGGAUUUACUGGGCGUAAAGCGCACGUAGGCGGACUUUUAAGUCAGGGGUGAAAUCCCGGGGCUCAACCCCGGAACUGCCUUUGAUACUGGAAGUCUUGAGUAUGGUAGAGGUGAGUGGAAUUCCGGGUGUAGAGGUGAAAUUCGUAGAGAUUCGGAGGAACACCAGUGGCGAAGGCGGCUCACUGGACCAUUACUGACGCUGAGGUGCGAAAGCGUGGGGAGCAAACAGG